GCCGCCGCUGCCAUUCCCGAGACCUUUCUAACCGCUGCAUCGUUGGGCACCACCACCACUUCUGAGCCGUCGGACUCCGCCGUAGCAGAGGCGCCGUUGUCCUCCGCUCUCGCCGCAAUGCUCGACGUCGUCGAUGCCGAUGUUGGGAACAAAGUUCUGUCGACGGACGGGCAGGAAGGAUUUUGGCGUGAGGAAAGGG
RNAcentral lists this long non-coding RNA (199 nucleotides) under Sorghum bicolor (sorghum). RNAcentral's name for it is "long non-coding RNA (SBIC_LNC013024)". Lineage: Eukaryota; Viridiplantae; Streptophyta; Magnoliopsida; Poales; Poaceae. The record is from RNAcentral.